RNAcentral lists this ribosomal RNA (774 nucleotides) under uncultured Neocallimastigales. RNAcentral describes it as "partial large subunit ribosomal RNA". It matches the Rfam family "Eukaryotic large subunit ribosomal RNA", at positions 20 to 616 of the family's 3401-position model. The record is from RNAcentral. Lineage: Eukaryota; Fungi; Neocallimastigomycota; Neocallimastigomycetes; Neocallimastigales.
UACUAGAGUAGCACUCGCAUAUCAAUAAGCGGAGGAAAAGAAACUAACGAGGAUUCCCCUAGUAACGGCGAGUGAAGCGGGAAGAGCUCAAAUUUGAAAUCUUAAAGGGUUUCCCUUUACGAAUUGUAGUUUAAAGAAGUGUUUUCUGUUGAGGUUUUGGUAAAAGUUCUUUGGAAUAGGACAUCAUAGAGGGUGAGAAUCCCGUAUUUGACCUUUACUUUCAACUUUGUGAUACACUUUCAAAGAGUCGGAUUGUUUGGGAAUGCAGUCCAAAAUGGGUGGUAAAUUUCAUCUAAAGCUAAAUAUUGGCGAGAGACCGAUAGCGAACAAGUACCGUGAGGGAAAGAUGAAAAGAACUUUGAAAAGAGAGUUAAACAGUACGUGAAAUUGUCAAAAGGGAAGCGUUUGACACCAGUGUUGUUUUUCUGAAAAUCAAUUAAAGAACUGUUUAUGCUAAGUUGUUUAGACUUUAUCAGCUAUCUGUUUAGUUUUGAGCUUUUCUUUAAUGCACUUUUCAGUUAACAAGUCAACAUCAAUUUCUUUUGCUGUAAAAAAGCUUGAGGAAGGUGGCUUGAGAUUCGUCUUAAGUGUUUAUAGCCUCUUGCCUAUGCAGUCGGAGAGAUUGAGGUCUGCAGCGUAGAUCCUUCGGGGCUAAAUGCAUUUGUGCUAAGUUAUAGCAUUUUAUAGACAACUUGUUGACUAUGAUUUGUCUUGUAGCUUACUCGCUUAUGUUAUUUUACCUACGCUUAGGAUGUUGAGCGCAUGUCUCUCUCU